GUGACUUUCAACGCUUCUGGCUGGUUCGUCACUUUUCCUUCCAUUUUGGAAGAGUGUCGGGAGUGAGCUCUAAUCGAUCGAGCCGUUUCGGAGCAGUUGGGUGACAAACACCGUGACACGAGAUCGGGAUAGCGAUAUAUAUAGAUUUGUCGUGUUCAACGAGCAGUUUCGUUCCAGAAGGAGGAGUGUCCAUCGAAUCACCGAGCAACUGGCAGUUUAAUAGUUUCAACUUCCAAGAACAACUAAACAAGUGUUCACACCAGCAGCUGAGCCCCCUAUUAUUCCUAAUAAUUACAACUGUAUCGCAUAACGCACUCAUCAUCCGGCGCUCGGGUACUACGCGGAGCGCACCUGCGAAUGCCGCACUGCCACUUUGAUACUGAUAGUGCGCGCUAAUUAGCAUACGUGGGAUGGCUAAUUGCACACGAUUAAUCUAUUCUCGCGGUCGUUCUGUCGCUCACGUAGAACCAUACAGAACUCGUAAACAUUACGAUACGCCUAAGGUAUAAAACGUUUCCGCUCCCAGGGCCAGAGCAACGUGUUGGCGGCGGCCUCCAGCAGGACCGUCACACCGCGGGAAGAUAGGAAUAAUUAGUUCGUUGAGCGAGUUGGCAGCGGUUACAAUUGUUAAUUCCCCGUUCUUCAUCCACAUUUCACACCCACCUCAGGCUUGAAAAGCUUGGACUUAGUUUAAUGGAACGGUGCCAUAUCCGGACUUCGCCUCGACGACAUUGUUUUACAUUGGCCAAAUUCGCUCACCCGAAAGAAAGACAAAUUCGGUUUAUCAGAAACACUAUUUGUUUUCACUUUUCGCACCGUUUAACUCUAAGAAUGAAAAGCCGUAGGUGCAGUUGUUUUCCUCAGUUUUUGGAUACGCUAAUCUGGUUCUGGUUUCACUUGAUAGAUAACCAAAUUACUCGUUUGUUCCAAAAAUAUUUGUAAAUUUACAGCAUAUCGUUCGUUGUUUUUUCCCCUAAAAAUUGUACUUCUUCUUAUGAAUACGUGUAAUGUUUUGUAUAGGUAUCGCCUCUCGCCUCUCUCAUUCGUGUAUCAAUAACGAUUUUUAUCAACAAAUCGAAUUGAAUAUCCUAAUAUAUGGUGUUCACAAAAAAAUUAUCAUGUCAGCUGACCAAUGGAUACUAAAUAAUCUAUUUUCGCGCUCAUUUCUUCUAUUUUUAUUCACUUUGGUAUUGUGGCAGGAGCAGAUUUGCAAUCCGUUUAUCCCGAUGCUCUCAUUCUCAACUGAUUUCACAGGCCUUCGAAACAAACGCUCAAAUACUUGGAAUCAUUUUUUUUUCUUAUUUGUUUGCGACCCGCUGCUGUCGAUCAAUGUGACGCGCGCCUUCAUUUUGCGCACUUCAAAUCACAAAUAAACAAAUACUGCGGCGUUGUGCUGGGAAAUAACGAUGGGUAAACAACAAUCCCCCGUUUGUAAUCUGUUUCGCGCUAAUGGCGACGAUGCUAAUAAAUAAAAACAUCAAGCGCAACAUAUUUUAGGUGCGUUUGGGUAUUGUUUCGCUUCAAAUGGCGACGUUGUUUGACGGGCUUUUGAAAACACUCGACAAUUGCAUCUCUAUAGGCGGCGGAUAUGCAUUUCCUCCCUUCGGGGUGAAUAACUGAUGCAAUCUCUGUCGGAAUACCUGAUAAUAAACAAUGAAUCUUCGUAAUCGAGUGCGGAGUAGCGUUGAACGGCAUGAAGAUAGACAUCCCGCAAUAAUCAUCUGCCGUACUGCGACACACGGCUAAAUUAGACAACACGAACCGUAAAUAAAGACAGAUUAGGCAUCGUGGCUUUACCCAGAUCUUGUAGAUGCAUUACCAUUAUUCAAUGCUAUUAAAUAUAACUCGCGAUGUAGAUCGAGAUAAGAUCGCCGCUCAAAUUCAAGUCGUGCCAAGUUAUAGAACACAGGUUAUCCUCUUAUUCUCAGCCUUGUAUACCCCUUUCAUUUUCGCCAACCAGACAAGCGCCUGUAUAGUGUAAACAAUACUCAAAUAGCGUUCGGGUCAUGUUACCACCGAAUCCGUCCCGUGUACCCACCAAACGAGACGACAACGAAAACCCAAACAUUCCAUAUCCACAGCAGUGCUUAACCCCAGACAGAAUUCUGGCAAGCACAGGGCGCGCUCGAGGCGCGUGGACACUCGCCGCCAUCGUGCUUAGUAUAAACAUCGUCGUCCCGAACCAGAUCUUCGCCCAUGAACAACUCGCUGACCGCGCAGCGGUGACAUAACAAGCGAUUGCAGUGAGUCUCCUCAUAACAGAGUACCGUUUUCGCCAGUUGCAAUCGUAAACGCGUUGUGGGUUUCGGAUGGUCGAAUUCAACGACUGCAGACAUGGCUGCUGUCUGCCUGCAUCAGCAAAAUGUUAUCGGAUCCUGGACAAAGCUCGGUCUUCAGCGCUCCGGCUGCAGCAGUGCUGGGUAAGGGUUGAAGCUUGGUAUGUAUGUAUUGGGUUGUCUGGAAACUUCGUGUUGUUACCGACGACCAAAUCGAGAUACCCAGGAACCAGACGAUAAAUUCCAACAAGUAUUGAUCGCAACUGGAGCAAUUGAAGACAGCUAUCUAGAACUAACGCUCGAAAUCAGCCAAUAGAAAUAGGUGUCGUGUUCCACCAGGACAAUGCAAGGCCUCAUGUGCUACGCGUCGCUUCAGGCUAUCACUCGUUCAGUUUCCUGUACAAUUCUCUCAAGACUUUUCGCCUCUUGGGACUGCAUGAAACAGCAUAUUGACCACAUUUUCGAUGAGAGUACCAGUAGAACAGAAUUUUUCGUGAAAGAUGGCAAAAUAUUGUGGAUAAUAGAAUAAACUGAAAUUUUCCGGGCGAUUAAAUAAAUAUGAAAACAAAAUUUGUUCACAUUUCCCUAAUUGUCGAUGUAGUAAAUGUAUUACAUGUGGUCAGUUCAAUAUAUAUAUAGUAAAUAUAAUAG
Molecule: long non-coding RNA, 2927 nt
Organism: Toxorhynchites rutilus septentrionalis
Lineage: Eukaryota; Metazoa; Arthropoda; Insecta; Diptera; Culicidae
Exons: 4
Source: RefSeq, a predicted model, not a curated record